This 440-nucleotide ribosomal RNA is filed under the name uncultured bacterium. Its description in RNAcentral is "partial 16S ribosomal RNA". It matches the Rfam family "Bacterial small subunit ribosomal RNA", at positions 338 to 795 of the family's 1533-position model. The record is from RNAcentral.
ACUACGGGGGGCUGCAGUGGGGGAUAUUGCACAAUGGGGGAAACCCUGAUGCAGCGACGCCGCGUGUGGGAAGACGGUCCUCUGGAUUGUAAACCACUGUCCCCAGGGACGAAGAUGACGGUACCUGGGGAGGAAGCUCCGGCUAACUACGUGCCAGCAGCCGCGGUAAUACGUAGGGAGCGAGCGUUGUCCGGAAUUACUGGGUGUAUAGGGAGCGUAGGCGGGACUGCAAGUUGGGUGUCAAAUCUACCGGCUCAACCGGUGGCCGCACUCAAAACUGCAGUUCUUGAGUGAAGUAGAGGCAGGCGGAAUUCCUGGUGUAGCGGUGAAAUGCGUAGAUAUUAGGAGGAACUCCAGUGGCGAAGGCGGCCUGCUGGGCUUUUACUGACGCUGAGGCUCGAAAGUGUGGGGAGCAAACAGGAUUAGAUACCCUAGUAGUC